ACGGCCACUGGAUGGCCUUGGCGCCCCCGUCGGUGCUCGAACUCCCGAUGGCGAGGCACUUGCCGGUCGCCUGGUUGCGCACCCGGUAGCCGUUC
This 95-nucleotide transfer RNA is filed under the name Streptomyces umbrinus. RNAcentral's name for it is "tRNA-Ser". The record is from RNAcentral. Lineage: Bacteria; Bacillati; Actinomycetota; Actinomycetes; Kitasatosporales; Streptomycetaceae.